AUCGACAGGCUUCCCCUAGUAACUGCGAGUGAAGCGGGAAAAGCUCAAAUUUAAAAUCUGGUGGCCUCUGGUCAUCCGAGUUGUAAUUUAGAGAAGCGUCUUCCGCGCUGGACCAUGCACAAGUCUCCUGGAAUGGAGCGUCAUAGAGGGUGAGAAUCCCGUCUUUGGCAUGGAUGCACCAGGGCUUCUGUGAUGCGCUCUCAAAGAGUCGAGUUGUUUGGGAAUGCAGCUCAAAAUGGGUGGUGAACUCCAUCUAAAGCUAAAUAUUGGCGAGAGACCGAUAGCGAACAAGUACCGUGAGGGAAAGAUGAAAAGCACUUUGGAAAGAGAGUGAAACAGUACGUGAAAUUGUUGAAAGGGAAACGCUUGAAGUCAGUCGCGUCGACCGAGACUCAGCCUCGCCUUGGCUUGGUGUACUUCUCGGCUGACGGGUCAGUGUCAAUUUUGGGCCUCGGAUAAUGACAAGGGAAAGGUGGCACCUUCAUAGGUGUGUUAUAGUCUCCUGUCGGAUGCGAGGGUCGGGAUUGAGGAACUCAGCACGCGCCUUUUGGUGUCGGGGCUUCGGCCUACGCUACGUGCUUAGGAUGCUGGCAUAAUGGCUUUAAACGACCCGUCUUGAAACACGGACCAAGGAGUCUAACAUGCCCGCGAGUGUUCGGGUGGAAAACCCGUGCGCGUAAUGAAAGUAAAAGUUGGGACCUCUGUCGUGGAGAGCACCGACGCCCGGACCAGACCUUCUGUGACGGAUCUGCGGUAGAGCGUGCAUGUUGGGACCCGAAAGAUGGUGAACUAUGCCUGAUAGGGUGAAGCCAGAGGAAACUCUGGUGGAGCUCGUAGCGAUUCUGACGUGCAAAUCGAUCGUCAAAUUUGGGUAUAGGGGCGAAAGACUAAUCGAACCAUCUAGUAGCUGGUC
RNAcentral lists this ribosomal RNA (913 nucleotides) under Russula foetens. Its description in RNAcentral is "partial large subunit ribosomal RNA". It matches the Rfam family "Eukaryotic large subunit ribosomal RNA", at positions 64 to 956 of the family's 3401-position model. Lineage: Eukaryota; Fungi; Basidiomycota; Agaricomycetes; Russulales; Russulaceae. The record is from RNAcentral.